Molecule: ribosomal RNA, 306 nt
Filed under: uncultured bacterium
Lineage: Bacteria
Description: bacterial SSU rRNA
Rfam family: Bacterial small subunit ribosomal RNA
Source: RNAcentral
CCUAACACAUGCAAGUCGAACGGUAACAGGAAGAAGCUUCGCUUCUUUCGCUGACGAGUGGCGGACGGGUGAGUAAUGUCUGGGAAACUGCCUGAUGGAGGGGGAUAACUACUGGAAACGGUAGCUAAUACCGCAUAACGUCGCAAGACCAAAGAGGGGGACCUUCGGGCCUCUUGCCAUCGGAUGUGCCCAGAUGGGAUUAGCUAGUAGGUGGGGUAACGGCUCACCUAGGCGACGAUCCCUAGCUGGUCUGAGAGGAUGACCAGCCACACUGGAACUGAGACACGGUCCAGACUCCUACGGGAG